CUCUUAACGUUGCAUGGCCGGCACCGCAUCGCUUGGACGCUGCUGCACUAGCUUACAAGGAAGAGUUACGGUUAAUAUUCCGGCACCUGGAUUUGGAUUCUCCACGGCAACGUAACUGAACGCGGAGACGACGGCGGGGGCCCUGGGAAGAGUUCUCUUUUCUUCUUAACAGCCUAUCACCCUGAAAUCGGUUUGUCCGGAGCUAGGGUCUGACGGUUGGUAGAGCGCGACACCUUUGUCGCGUCCGGUGCGCUCUCGACGUCCCUUGAAAAUCCGCGGGAAGGAAGGCUCAUGCGGUUUUAGCUCUAGCG
RNAcentral lists this non-coding RNA (311 nucleotides) under Pseudogymnoascus sp. VKM F-3808. Its description in RNAcentral is "Eukaryotic large subunit ribosomal RNA". It matches the Rfam family "Eukaryotic large subunit ribosomal RNA", at positions 1542 to 1842 of the family's 3401-position model. The record is from Rfam by way of RNAcentral. Lineage: Eukaryota; Fungi; Ascomycota; Leotiomycetes; Thelebolales; Thelebolaceae.